This is a small nuclear RNA of Gorilla gorilla gorilla (western lowland gorilla), 194 nucleotides long. Its record names the gene U2. It matches the Rfam family "U2 spliceosomal RNA". Rfam says of the family: U2 is a small nuclear RNA (snRNA) component of the spliceosome (involved in pre-mRNA splicing). The record is from Ensembl. NCBI's taxonomy places the organism in Eukaryota, Metazoa, Chordata, Mammalia, Primates, Hominidae.
UUCUCUUGUGGGCAUUUAGUGCUAUAAAAUUCCCUCUACACACUGCUUUAAAUGUGUCCCAGGGAUUCUGAUAUGUUGUGCUGAGGACAGAUCUUAAAUGGAUUUUUGGAGCCAGGAGAGGGAAUAGGAGCUUGCUCCAUCUGCUCCACUCACUGACUUGAUAUUGCAGUACCUCCAGGUAUGGUGCAUUCCCC